ACUCAAAGGAAUUGACGGGGGCCCGCACAAGCAGAGGAGCAUGUGGUUUAAUUCGAUGAUACGCGAGGAACCUUACCAGGGCUUGAAAGUUAGGGAAUAUCUCUGAAAGGAGAUAGUCAGCAAUGACCCGAAACUAGGUGCUGCAUGGCUGUCGUCAGCUCGUGCCGUGAGGUGUUAGGUUAAGUCCUGCAACGAGCGCAACCCCUACUAUUAGUUGCCAUCAGGUAAUGCUGGGGACUCUAAUAGAACUGCCCGCGCAAGCGGUGAGGAAGGUGGGGAUGACGUCAAGUCAGCACGGCCCUUACGUCCUGGGCUACACACGUGCUACAAUGGUAGAUACAACGGGUUGCUACGUGGCAACACGAUGCUAAUCUCUAAAAUCUAUCUCAGUUCGGAUUGGAGUCUGCAACCCGACUCCAUGAAGCUGGAUUUGCUAGUAAUCGCGCAUCAGCCAUGGCGCGGUGAAUACGUUCCCGGGCCUUGUACACACCGCCCGU
RNAcentral lists this ribosomal RNA (497 nucleotides) under uncultured bacterium. RNAcentral's name for it is "partial 16S ribosomal RNA". It matches the Rfam family "Bacterial small subunit ribosomal RNA", at positions 899 to 1397 of the family's 1533-position model. The record is from RNAcentral.